GGGGUGAUCGCAGCUACUUGUGGGCUGCAGCCUCAAUCUUAUUCUCUAGCCCUGACCUCUUUCUUGAACUUCAGAUCUCAAUAUACAUCUCAAUAUGCAAUACCAGUGUCUUUGUUCCUGAGGAGUCUUAGUGUCUGAGAGAGUGGGAGUCUUUCCAACUUCCCACGUGGCAAUAGAUGCUAUUUCCAUUUGGGAUUUCCAAGGUGCUUACCUAGCACAACAGAACCUUAGGAGCAAAGAAUGGAAAGUGAGGCACAGAAGCAGAAUCUGGGGAAUUUUCUCCACCAUCAUAUCGGGAUAUUAGGUUGGAUUUUCCAGAAAUUCAAAUUCAUCAGUGUCCCACUGCUAAUUGGAAAGUUCACAGGAGACUAAAGUACAAGGCAGAAUGUCAAUAAAUUCAUUGCCACAGAGAAACAAAACUGCCCCAUGUUGAUCUAAACAGUGCUUUCUACACAGGAAGCCAAAUUACACUCAGAAGAUAUUUGGGUGAACAUGGCAAACUACCAAUGACAUUCCUCAUUUGUUCUGUGACAAGGGCUUAACAUUCAUUACAUAUAAAUAGCUGGAUGAAGAAACUGAGACUCAGAGAGGCCAAGUAGCUUGCCCCAGAUAGCUGUGUAAGCAGUGGUGCUGAGAUUCAAAUUCAGCACCAAAGCCUAAUUUGUUUAACCACUGACAUACACAACACAGAUGGUAUUGCUAUAGAGAAAAGAGUGAUAAGCUUUUGUCUAAGUCAAGCUGAUGUUUAACAUAAUACCUGUGACAGUGCUCUGAUACAGCUUUAUAGCCACACAGAUGGGAAGGAUUAUUCUUGAAAAUGCUUUCCCCAAAUGAAUCUUCAUAAUCAGGGUUUUAUGUUAAAUGCACUAUAUGAGUUACUUUUUCAAAAGGCUCCUGCUGUAAAGCAAGUAAAUAAUUUUGUUCCUGAAAAUGAAAAAUCAUCCUGAUUUACCUACCACGUGGUAUAUCUGUUGGAGUCAAAGAUGUAUUUGUCUUGGGCCAGGUAGAAUUUAGGUUUCAAUUCCAGAUCAACAUCAGCUAUGUUACCUCGGACAUAGGCCUUACCACCUCCUGACUUGUCCUCCAGCCAAAGAGAAAGUUCUUGAGUCAUCCGAAUGACACUUCUUCUACGUCUAUGCCCCACAAGUCACUGUGGUGUGGCUCCACAUCCCGAGCGUUCUCUUCGAGAUCAUGAUGAUGCUGUCACUGCAACUUCCAGAGACUUCUUAAUCUGCAGCUGCUUCUACGGGUCAUUCACUAGCAGGACCGCCACCUCCUUCUGGAAACUCUCCUGCCUCGGCAUCUGCAGUGAUUCUCUCCUGGUUCUCCUCCUUUCCCUCCAACAACUUUCUCUGUCUUUUUGGCCGGUUCUCUUUUUCUCUGCCUCAUCAUUAAAUGUGAAAGAUUGAAGAGCCUCCCCACCCUUCUUUUCCUCCUUAAAUUUUAUUAUUUGAAUGGGCAUUUUCAUAAUUUAAUUAGAACUGUUUCAAUAAAAUAACAAUAAACUACCAUUUAUUAAAUGCAUAUUAAAUGUACACCAAUCACUGUGCUAAACAUUACUUUAUUUCAAUUGAUCGCCACAGCAGCCAUCUGUGGUAGGUAUUACUAAGAUUCCUCAUUUACAGAUGGGGAAAAAGCAGCUAAGAAAAGACCACCUAUUCAUCCAUCUGACUGCACAUCUAUUUCUCUGCCCCAAAACACAGAUACAGGAGAAGAUUGUUCAUCCAGAAGUUCAGAUACUAGGUGCAUCUGAACAAAGGAACUGUUUCAAAGGGUUUUUUUUCUUACCCUUUGAAAAAAAUACAUCAUACUUUUGUAAAAAUUGAAGAAAACUUGCUGGAGGUCAUGGUGUAUGGGGAAGGAAUGCGCUCUGCUAGGCUGACUGGUCAGGGACAGCCAUCGCUGGGAUUUGGCCAGGGUGACUGCCCAAGUUACCACAACAGAUCUGUUCGAUUUCCCUUAUCCAUCCCCACAUUUCUAAAUCUUAUUUAUACAUCAAGUCCAGGUCAAACCCCCUUCAUUCUCGAAGUCUUCUCUGAUUCUCCUCCCCCAACAGGCACAAAUGGACCCAGACCCCAGCCAGAAUGUGUCUGUGAUGGCACUUGGCAUUUUAUCAUCCAUGGUUAAUACUGCACUUCAGAAAGCAUUUCAACUAUCAGUUUCAUGCUCUACCUCCCUUUCUGGUCUCCUUGGGGCUGGGAGUUGCAGCUACUUCAUCUUUAUGAUGUUUUCAGAACCAAGCCCAGUGCCUGGAACACAGACGUUCAUAAAUGACUGACCAAUUUUAACUGAAUGACAUUGGCUUUGAAAGGCGAGGGGCACCCCCAAAUCACUCUAAUGCCAGCACUGAGCAGUGUAUUACGUACACAGCAGGUGCUAAACAAAUAAAAAAUCGUCUCACCUCUCUCAAUCCUUCCAAAAAUAAGGAUCAGGAAAUGGGGACUGAGACAGAGUUUUCUAAAGGCUUGUGUUCACAGACAUGUUGGGGUGGUGGCUUUUGACAUUCUCCAUGAUGAACUAAGCAGAAAAAAGACCAUGUUUGGACACAUUCUAGUUCUCCUAUUCAGGAAAUGAGAGUUAAAUCUUUGAAGACAGACAGGGCUCCAAGAUUUACUAUAACCACCUGCUUCUACAGAGGAGAGCUGGGAGGUAAAACAACUCCAUCCAAGAACAGGACAAGAAGGACAGCAGAUGCAUUUUACUUGUCCCCCUCUAGACUUGCAAGUGAAGCCUCUAGGAAAAUGAGUGCUUUCUGAGUGGCUAAAAAUAAACUCCCAGAAACUUCAUCUAGAUAUAUCAUGGCUGCAAUUUACAGCGUCUAGAACUUCAGCAUGGUAUAAUUACCAAAUGGAUUACAAUAAUUUACUUUUGGGUUAAAAGCUCUAAUGAACAUGACCUUCCAAUGGAAUAGGAAAAUAAGAGGCUAGGAACCAGCCAUUCCUCUGUCCCCUUCCAGUGCUACAAUUUUAAUGCUGGCUGACAUCCAUCUACUGACACGUGGUGGGUACAAUUACAAUUCUGAGCUCUGGGCUUCCUGGGAAGUAUGGCCUCUGGAAUAUAGCCCCCCAAAAGGGUCUAUACUUAUCCAGUGACCAGGAAGACAUCCCAAAUCACCCUCAAAUGAGCAGGAAACCCCACAAGCAGGGAACGGUUUGUUGUGAUGUCUCUGAGUAGGCAGUAUCAAAGGAUGGGACCAAGAAAGAAUGUUAUGCAGGUAAAAGAAGAUUAGACUGGGGUCAGGGAGGACCUCUGUUUGGGUUUUGCUUUAUGUGUAGCAUGAAUAACAACCACUUAUAGGCCCUUUUACAAAAUACUGA
Manis pentadactyla (Chinese pangolin) is the source of this 3317-nucleotide long non-coding RNA. RefSeq lists it as uncharacterized. The record is from RefSeq and is a predicted model, not a curated record. NCBI's taxonomy places the organism in Eukaryota, Metazoa, Chordata, Mammalia, Pholidota, Manidae. The transcript has 3 exons.